RNAcentral lists this long non-coding RNA (1258 nucleotides) under Setaria italica (foxtail millet). RNAcentral describes it as "long non-coding RNA (SITA_LNC002781)". Lineage: Eukaryota; Viridiplantae; Streptophyta; Magnoliopsida; Poales; Poaceae. The record is from RNAcentral.
GGGAUGAUUCAUCUGUUGCGAGGGAUAGCGAGGUCCAAUCACUCGAUCAAUCAUGUAUCGCGCACUCUAUCCGAUGGGAUUCCUUCCUUCUGGUAAAGCUAGCCCAUCGGCGUGUGUCGGUCGUGUCAGCUUGUGCCUUUGCCGAUGCCAUAUCCUUUUGCCACCUUUUUUUUUUCCUUCCCAUUUUCUAUGCGACCACGCCUCUGCACCAGUCUAAUGGCAUGGGGCGCUGCAGAAAAGGAGAGCAACAAAGACAAAGACGCAAAGGUAAGUUGAGAAGUGCAAAAGAACGAGAUUGUUUAGGCCAUGAUCUCCAUUGAUAUCAUGUACUUGUGCCUCAUAAAAGUUCUUGUACCUGGUGCCGUUCGUUACUUAACUAACUACUCUAAUUCAGUGUAGGAAGUAGUAAAGCUUCAUAUAGUUGAUGCGCCCAAGAUUGGUGUUCGAAUUGGGGAACAAUUCUUUAUUAGAAAAAAAUUGGGGAACGAUUCUUCAGUUAGUAGAGAGAUCUUGUAUGGAGAAAGAGAUGUUCUAACUUCGGAGUCUUUACCUUUGAGUCACAGCCAUAUGAACCUAAAUGUGGUGGGAUCCGGUGAUGAUUCAUGAUACAGGGUCAAAGUUAGAGGAACAUCUCCCGUUGUAUGAUAAGUUGGUAACAAUGUUAGAAUUAUUAGAAAAAGAAUUGUACUAGUGGUGGUAAGUAUUUUUAACUGCAUAUAUGUCCAUCUAAUUUGGACUUCCAAAUCAUAGGGCCAACUUGGAUGCCUACUUUGUGUCAUUCAUCGUGAACUAGUUCCCAAUGAAUGCACUGACUCCCUAAUAACAAAGUGGGAACUGUACUUGCAAAGAAAUUAUGUCAUCUUAAAUACGAGACGAGAAUACAUGUCACCACUCACCAGUGCGCAAGGAUGCAAGUGGGUACCCAAUAGUGUUGUCUAGGUCAGCUGAUUAAUUACGAUGACAUGCCACUCUAAUUCAUUUCUCCGCCCAAAUUAUUUACGCAGAAUGCCAUUCUCGUUCAUUUUGUCAACCUUUUAGAUCGACCCAAUACCCCAAAAUAUGUAUAACUUGCGUCCCUACCGGUGCGUUAAGGUUAGUUGAAGCGAGACGAGACAAGGCCGCACACUUGGCCAUAAAUUGACGGCAGCACGGGGAACUCCAAAUCUUUCACGACGGAAAAUGACCUAGCAACUAACCUGGGGUUUGAAGCCGGCCGUUGCCCGGAGACGUUCAGCCUUCAAAUUGACACGCCGCCUAC